ACACUCCUGCGGGAGGCAGCAGUGGGGAAUAUUGCACAAUGGGCGCAAGCCUGAUGCAGCCAUGCCGCGUGUAUGAAGAAGGCCUUCGGGUUGUAAAGUACUUUCAGCGGGGAGGAAGGCAAUACGGUUAAUAACCGUGUUGAUUGACGUUACCCGCAGAAGAAGCACCGGCUAACUCCGUGCCAGCAGCCGCGGUAAUACGGAGGGUGCAAGCGUUAAUCGGAAUUACUGGGCGUAAAGCGCACGCAGGCGGUCUGUCAAGUCGGAUGUGAAAUCCCCGGGCUCAACCUGGGAACUGCAUUCGAAACUGGCAGGCUUGAGUCUUGUAGAGGGGGGUAGAAUUCCAGGUGUAGCGGUGAAAUGCGUAGAGAUCUGGAGGAAUACCGGUGGCGAAGGCGGCCCCCUGGACAAAGACUGACGCUCAGGUGCGAAAGCGUGGGGAGCAAACAGGAUUAGAUACCCGUGUAGUCCCAUG
This 475-nucleotide ribosomal RNA is filed under the name uncultured organism. RNAcentral's name for it is "partial 16S ribosomal RNA". It matches the Rfam family "Bacterial small subunit ribosomal RNA", at positions 333 to 799 of the family's 1533-position model. The record is from RNAcentral.